RNAcentral lists this ribosomal RNA (253 nucleotides) under uncultured bacterium. Its description in RNAcentral is "partial 16S ribosomal RNA". It matches the Rfam family "Bacterial small subunit ribosomal RNA", at positions 524 to 776 of the family's 1533-position model. The record is from RNAcentral.
AACGUAGGAAGCGAGCGUUAUCCGGAUUUACUGGGCGUAAAGCGUGUGUAGGCGGUUUGAUAAGUUGGAUGUGAAAGCUCCUGGCUUAACUGGGAGAGGUCGUUCAAAACUAUCAGACUCGAGAGUGGUAGAGGGAGGUGGAAUUCCGGGUGUAGUGGUGAAAUGCGUAGAUAUCCGGAGGAACACCAGUGGCGAAAGCGGCCUCCUGGCCCAUUUCUGACGCUCAGACACGAAAGCUAAGGUAGCAAACGGG